CCUACGGGCGGCAGCAGUGAGGAAUAUUGGUCAAUGGGCGUAAGCCUGAACCAGUCAAGCCGCGUGAGGGAUGAAGGUUCUAUGUAUCGUAAACCUCUUUUAUAAGGGAAUAAAGUGCGGGACGUGUCCCGUUUUGUAUGUACCUUAUGAAUAAGGAUCGGCUAACUCCGUGCCAGCAGCCGCGGUAAUACGGAGGAUCCGAGCGUUAUCCGGAUUUAUUGGGUUUAAAGGGUGCGUAGGCGGCCUUUUAAGUCAGCGGGGAAAGUCUGUGGCUCAACCAUAGAAGUGCCGUUGAAACUGGGAGGCUGGAGUAGGUUGGAGGACGGCGGAAUGCGUGGUGUAGCGGUGAAAUGCUGAGAUAUCACGCAGAACCCCGAUUGCGAAGGCAGCGUGCCAAGCCAUGACUGACGCUGAUGCACGAAAGCGUGGGGAUCAAACAGGAUUAGAUACCCGUGUAGUC
Molecule: ribosomal RNA, 460 nt
Filed under: uncultured bacterium
Lineage: Bacteria
Description: partial 16S ribosomal RNA
Rfam family: Bacterial small subunit ribosomal RNA
Source: RNAcentral